AUUGAACGCUGGCGGCGGGCCUAACACAUGCAAGUCGAACGGUAACAGGAAACAGCUUGCUGUUUCGCUGACGAGUGGCGGACGGGUGAGUAAUGUCUGGGAAACUGCCUGAUGGAGGGGGAUAACUACUGGAAACGGUAGCUAAUACCGCAUAACGUCGCAAGACCAAAGAGGGGGACCCUCGGGCCUCUUGCCAUCGGAUGUGCCCAGAUGGGAUUAGCUUGUUGGUGGGGUAACGGCUCACCAAGGCGACGAUCCCUAGCUGGUCUGAGAGGAUGACCAGCCACACUGGAACUGAGACACGGUCCAGACUCCUACGGGAGGCAGCAGUGGGGAAUAUUGCACAAUGGGCGCAAGCCUGAUGCAGCCAUGCCGCGUGUAUGAAGAAGGCCUUCGGGUUGUAAAGUACUUUCAGCGGGGAGGAAGGGAGUAAAGUUAAUACCUUUGCUCAUUGACGUUACCCGCAGAAGAAGCACCGGCUAACUCCGUG
This 490-nucleotide ribosomal RNA is filed under the name uncultured bacterium. RNAcentral's name for it is "partial 16S ribosomal RNA". It matches the Rfam family "Bacterial small subunit ribosomal RNA", at positions 30 to 507 of the family's 1533-position model. The record is from RNAcentral.